This 429-nucleotide ribosomal RNA is filed under the name Bacteroidota bacterium. Its description in RNAcentral is "Bacteroidetes bacterium partial 16S ribosomal RNA". It matches the Rfam family "Bacterial small subunit ribosomal RNA", at positions 355 to 776 of the family's 1533-position model. The record is from RNAcentral. Lineage: Bacteria; Pseudomonadati; Bacteroidota.
UAGGGAAUCUUCCGCAAUGGACGCAAGUCUGACGGAGCAACGCCGCGUGAGUGAAGAAGGAUUUCGGUUCGUAAAACUCUGUUGUUAGAGAAGAACAGCGCAUAGAGUAACUGUUAUGCGUGUGACGGUAUCUAACCAGAAAGCCACGGCUAACUACGUGCCAGCAGCCGCGGUAAUACGUAGGUGGCAAGCGUUGUCCGGAUUUAUUGGGCGUAAAGCGAGCGCAGGCGGUCAAUUAAGUCUGAUGUGAAAGCCCCCGGCUCAACCGGGGAUGGUCAUUGGAAACUGGUUGACUUGAGUGCAGAAGAGGAGAGUGGAAUUCCAUGUGUAGCGGUGAAAUGCGUAGAUAUAUGGGAGAACACCAGUGGCGAAGGCGACUCUCUGGUCUGUAACUGACGCUGAGGCUCGAAAGCGUGGGUAGCAAACGGG